UACGGAGGAUGCGAGCGUUAUCCGGAUUUAUUGGGUUUAAAGGGUGCGUAGGCGGCUUUUUAAGUCAGCGGUGAAAUUUUGCAGCUUAACCGUAACAGUGCCGUUGAUACUGGGGAGCUAGGAUUUGGUUGCUGUGGGUGGAAUGUGUGGUGUAGCGGUGAAAUGCUUAGAGAUCACACAGAAUAUCGAUUGCGAAGGCAGCUCACAAAGCCAAGAUUGACGCUGAGGCACGAAAGUGUAGGGAUCAAACAGGAUUAGA
Molecule: ribosomal RNA, 259 nt
Filed under: uncultured prokaryote
Description: partial 16S ribosomal RNA
Rfam family: Bacterial small subunit ribosomal RNA
Source: RNAcentral